RNAcentral lists this ribosomal RNA (440 nucleotides) under uncultured bacterium. RNAcentral's name for it is "partial 16S ribosomal RNA". It matches the Rfam family "Bacterial small subunit ribosomal RNA", at positions 338 to 795 of the family's 1533-position model. The record is from RNAcentral.
CCUACGGGCGGCAGCAGUGGGGGAUAUUGCACAAUGGGGGAAACCCUGAUGCAGCGACGCCGCGUGAGUGAAGAAGUAUUUCGGUAUGUAAAGCUCUAUCAGCAGGGAAGAAAAUGACAGUACCUGACCAAGAAGCCCCGGCUAACUACGUGCCAGCAGCCGCGGUAAUACGUAGGGGGCAAGCGUUAUCCGGGUUUACUGGGUGUAAAGGGAGCGUAGACGGUUAUGUAAGUCUGGAGGGAAAGCCCGGGGCCCAACCCCGGGACUGCUUUGGAAACUGUGUAACUGGAGUGCAGGAGGGGCAGGCGGAAUGCCUGGUGUAGCGGUGAAAUGCGUAGAUAUCAGGAGGAACACCGGCGGCGAAGGCGGCCUGCUGGACUGAAACUGACGUUGAGGCUCGAAAGCGUGGGGAGCAAACAGGAUUAGAUACCCCUGUAGUC